This 497-nucleotide ribosomal RNA is filed under the name uncultured bacterium. RNAcentral's name for it is "partial 16S ribosomal RNA". It matches the Rfam family "Bacterial small subunit ribosomal RNA", at positions 28 to 507 of the family's 1533-position model. The record is from RNAcentral.
GAUGAACGCUGGCGGCGUGCCUAAUACAUGCAAGUCGAGCGAACAGACGAGGAGCUUGCUCCUCUGACGUUAGCGGCGGAUGGGUGAGUAACACGUGGAUAACCUACCUAUAAGACUGGGAUAACUUCGGGAAACCGGAGCUAAUACCGGAUAAUAUAUAGAACCGCAUGGUUCAAUAGUGAAAGACGGUUUUGCUGUCACUUAUAGAUGGAUCCGCGCCGCAUUAGCUAGUUGGUAAGGUAACGGCUUACCAAGGCAACGAUGCGUAGCCGACCUGAGAGGGUGAUCGGCCACACUGGAACUGAGACACGGUCCAGACUCCUACGGGAGGCAGCAGUAGGGAAUCUUCCGCAAUGGGCGAAAGCCUGACGGAGCAACGCCGCGUGAGUGAUGAAGGUCUUCGGAUCGUAAAACUCUGUUAUUAGGGAAGAACAAAUGUGUAAGUAACUAUGCACGUCUUGACGGUACCUAAUCAGAAAGCCACGGCUAACUACGUG